GGUUGAUCCUGCCAGUAGUCGUAUGCUUGUCUCGAAGAUUAAGCCAUGCAUGUAAAGUUCAAGCUCCGAUUUGUGAGGGCGAAACCGCGAAUGGCUCAUUAAAUCAGUCAUAAUCUACUUGAUUGUUUAAAGUUUAUAUGGAUAACUGUGGUAAUUCUAGAGCUAAUACAUGCGUGAAGGGGGCGACGCUGGCGCAAGUUGGCGAAGCUCUGCGUUUAUUAGACUAAGACCGAUGUUGGCCUAAAAAACCAACUCUAUAAAUUGGUGACUCUGAGUAAAUAACGGGUGCAAG
This 292-nucleotide ribosomal RNA is filed under the name uncultured eukaryote. Its description in RNAcentral is "partial 18S ribosomal RNA". It matches the Rfam family "Eukaryotic small subunit ribosomal RNA", at positions 6 to 273 of the family's 1831-position model. The record is from RNAcentral.